Molecule: ribosomal RNA, 445 nt
Filed under: uncultured bacterium
Lineage: Bacteria
Description: partial 16S ribosomal RNA
Rfam family: Bacterial small subunit ribosomal RNA
Source: RNAcentral
GUGAGGAAUAUUGGUCAAUGGGCGGGAGCCUGAACCAGCCAAGUCGCGUGAAGGAAGAAGGAUCUAUGGUUAGUAAACUUCUUUUGCAGGGGAGUAAAGUGCAGGACGUGUCCUGUUUUGUAUGUACCCUGAGAAUAAGGAUCGGCUAACUCCGUGCCAGCAGCCGCGGUAAUACGGAGGAUCCGAGCGUUAUCCGGAUUUAUUGGGUUUAAAGGGCGCGUAGGUGGUUUGAUAAGUCAGCGGUGAAAGUUUGCAGCUUAACUGUAAAAAUGCCGUUGAAACUGUCGGACUUGAGUGUAAAUGAGGUAGGCGGAAUGCGUGGUGUAGCGGUGAAAUGCAUAGAUAUCACGCAGAACUCCGAUUGCGAAGGCAGCUUACUAAGCUACAACUGACACUGAAGCACGAAAGCGUGGGGAUCAAACAGGAUUAGAAACCCCGGUAGUCC